Molecule: ribosomal RNA, 427 nt
Filed under: uncultured bacterium
Lineage: Bacteria
Description: partial 16S ribosomal RNA
Rfam family: Bacterial small subunit ribosomal RNA
Source: RNAcentral
UGGGGAAUAUUGGACAAUGGGCGAAAGCCUGAUCCAGCCAUGCCGCGUGUGUGAAGAAGGUCUUCGGAUUGUAAAGCACUUUAAGUUGGGAGGAAGGGCAUUAACCUAAUACGUUAGUGUUUUGACGUUACCGACAGAAUAAGCACCGGCUAACUCUGUGCCAGCAGCCGCGGUAAUACAGAGGGUGCAAGCGUUAAUCGGAAUUACUGGGCGUAAAGCGCGCGUAGGUGGUUUGUUAAGUUGGAUGUCAAAUCCCCGGGCUCAACCUGGGAACUGCAUUCAAAACUGACUGACUAGAGUAUGGUAGAGGGUGGUGGAAUUUCCUGUGUAGCGGUGAAAUGCGUAGAUAUAGGAAGGAACACCAGUGGCGAAGGCGACCACCUGGACUAAUACUGACACUGAGGUGCGAAAGCGUGGGGAGCAAACA